GAAAAGAACAAAGUUUUGUCCAUCUUUGUUCAUCAUAGCCUAAAGUUAGAGAAAGGAGAGGAAGGAGAGGAGAAAGCUCUUGAAUGUACGGUCACUUGGGGAAGAAAAUUGAAGGUAAGUUCAUGGUAGUUUGCUUCUAUCUUGAUGUUCAUGAGUUCUUCUUGAUUCUACCUUAACUCUUGAAGCAUAUUUUGGUUUUUGGUUGUGUUGUGAGCAUUUGGUCAUGAAUUAAAAUGAAG
This 239-nucleotide long non-coding RNA is filed under the name Gossypium barbadense (sea-island cotton). Its description in RNAcentral is "long non-coding RNA (GBAR_LNC000244)". The record is from RNAcentral. Lineage: Eukaryota; Viridiplantae; Streptophyta; Magnoliopsida; Malvales; Malvaceae.